CCUACGGGUGGCAGCAGUCGAGAAUCAUUCACAAUGGGGGAAACCCUGAUGGUGCGACGCCGCGUGGGGGAAUGAAGGUCUUCGGAUUGUAAACCCCUGUCAUGUGGGAGCAAAUUAAAAAGAUAGUACCACAAGAGGAAGAGACGGCUAACUCUGUGUCAGCCGCCGCGGUAAUACAGAGGUCUCAAGCGUUGUUCGGAAUCACUGGGCGUAAGGCGUGCGUAGGCUGUUUCGUAAGUCGUGUGUGAAAGGCGCGGGCUCAACCCGCGGACGGCACAUGAUACUGGGAGACUAGAGUAAUGGAGGGGGAACCGGAAUGCUCGGUGUAGCAGUGAAAUGCGUAGAUAUCGAGAGGAACACUCGUGGCGAAGGCGGGUUCCUGGACAUUAACUGACGCUGAGGCACGAAGGCCAGGGGAGCGAAAGGGAUUAGAUACCCGGGUAGUC
Molecule: ribosomal RNA, 446 nt
Filed under: uncultured bacterium
Lineage: Bacteria
Description: partial 16S ribosomal RNA
Rfam family: Bacterial small subunit ribosomal RNA
Source: RNAcentral